This 402-nucleotide ribosomal RNA is filed under the name uncultured bacterium. Its description in RNAcentral is "bacterial SSU rRNA". It matches the Rfam family "Bacterial small subunit ribosomal RNA", at positions 103 to 507 of the family's 1533-position model. The record is from RNAcentral.
CGGGUGAGGAAUACAUGGGUAACCUACCCUUGAGGAAGGGAAUAACCCGACCGAAAGGUGAGCUAAUACCCUAUACGCUAUUCUUUUUUACGAAAAGGAUAAGGAAAGCCGGGUCGAGGACCUGGUACUCAAGGGAGGGGCUCAUGUCCUAUCAGCUUGUUGGUGGGGUAACGGCCUACCAAGGCUACGACGGGUAGCUGGUCUGAGAGGAUGAUCAGCCACACUGGCACUGAGAUACGGGCCAGACUCCUACGGGAGGCAGCAGUGGGGAAUAUUGGACAAUGGGCGAAAGCCUGAUCCAGCCACGCCGCGUGGGUGAUGAAGACCUUCGGGUUGUAAAGCCCUGUCGGGAGGGACGAAUCAAUGACGGUACCUCCCAAGAAAGCACCGGCUAACUCCGUG